NNNNCUGGUUUGCACUGGUCUUGACUGGUCUGUGCUGGUGUGGACUGGUUUGUGCUGGUUUGAGCUCACCUGGACUGUUCUGCGCUGGUCUGGACUGGUUUGCACUGGUCUGCACUGGUCUGCGCUGGUUUGGACUGGUUUGCACUGGUCUUGACUGGUCUGUGCUGGUGUGGACUGGUUUGUGCUGGUUUGAGCUGGCCUGGACUGGUCUGCGCUGGUCUGGACUGGUUUGCACUGGUCUUGACUGGUCUGUGCUGGUGUGGACUGGUUUGUGCUGGUUUGAGCUCACCUGGACUGUUCUGCGCUGGUCUGGACUGGUUUGCACUGGUCUUGACUGGUCUGUGCUGGUGUGGACUGGUUUGUGCUGGUUUGAGCUCACCUGGACUGUUCUGCGCUGGUCUGGACUGGUUUGCACUGGUCUUGACUGGUCUGUGCUGGUGUGGACUGGUUUGUGCUGGUUUGAGCUCACCUGGACUGUUCUGCGCUGGUCUGGACUGGUUUGCACUGGUCUUGACUGGUCUGUGCUGGUGUGGACUGGUUUGUGCUGGUUUGAGCUCACCUGGACUGGUCUGCGCUGGUGUGGACUGGUUUGCACUGCUGGUUUGCGCUGGUCUAGACUGGUUUGUGCUGGUCUGGACUGGUUUGAACUGGCCUGGAGCAGUCCGUACUAGUCUGUACUGGUUUCCCAUGCUGUGUACUAGUCUGUAUUGGUGCUUACUGGUCUGUCUUGAUUUAAACUGGUCAAGACUGGUUCACUGGCCUGGAGCAGUCCGUACUAGUCUGUACUGGUUUCCCAUGCUGUGUACUAGUCUGUAUUGGUGCUUACUGGUCUGUCUUGAUUUAAACUGGUCAAGACUGGUUUUCUAUUAGGACAUGUUGUUUUAUAGCAGCCUGUGGGUAGUUUAUACUGGUCUGGACUGGUUUGGGUUGGUCUAGGCUGGGUCAUACCAGUCCAGAGCCACUGCUACUGGCUCAUACUGGUCUAUACUGGUCUCGUCUCCUUUCUAAGGGCUGUUACUGGCUUGUAGCGGUUUCUGCUGGUUCACAGUGAUUUGUUAUGCCUUGUGACUGGUUUAUACUGGUCUGGACUGGUUCAGGGCAGUGCAGACCGUUUACACUGGUCUGGACUGGUCUCU
This 1136-nucleotide long non-coding RNA is filed under the name Struthio camelus australis. RNAcentral's name for it is "lncRNA (ENSSCUG00000009034.1)". The record is from RNAcentral. Lineage: Eukaryota; Metazoa; Chordata; Aves; Struthioniformes; Struthionidae.